Molecule: ribosomal RNA, 498 nt
Filed under: uncultured bacterium
Lineage: Bacteria
Description: partial 16S ribosomal RNA
Rfam family: Bacterial small subunit ribosomal RNA
Source: RNAcentral
ACGAACGCUGGCGGCGUGCUUAACACAUGCCAGUCGAACGGGCCCGCUCUCUUUUUUGGGGGUGGGUUGAGUGGCGAACGGGUGAGUAUCACGUGAGUAACCUGCCCCCUGCUCCUGGAUAACUGCUUGAAAGGGCGGCUAAUACGGGGUGUGCCGGCUGGUCCGCAUGGGCCUGGUCGGGAUAGUUUCAUCUUCGGGUGUUUCGGUGGGGGAUGGGCUCGCGGCCUAUCAGCUUGUUGGUGGGGUGAUGGCCCACCAAGGCGGUGACGGGUAGCCGGCCUGAGAGGGUGGGCGGCCACACUGGGACUGAGACACGGCCCAGACUCCUGCGGGAGGCAGCAGUGGGGGGUAUUGCACAAUGGGCGGAAGCCUGAUGCAGCGACGUCGCGUGAGGGAUGGAGGCCUUCGGGUUGUGAACCUCUUUCUCCGGUGGUGAAGGCCCUGUCCGUUGCGGCGGGGUUGACGGUAGCCGGGUAUGAAGCGCCGGCUAACUACGUG